UACGUAGGUGGCAAGCGUUGUCCGGAUUUACUGGGCGUAAAGAGCGCGCAGGCGGUCGUUCAAGUCGCGUGUGAAAGCCCCCGGCUCAACUGGGGAGGGUCACGCGAUACUGAUCGACUCGAAGGCAGGAGAGGGUAGUGGAAUUCCCGGUGUAGUAGUGAAAUGCGUAGAUAUCGGGAGGAACAUCAGUGGCGAAGGCGACCACCUGGCCCAACACUGACGCUGAGGUGCGAAAGCGUGGGUAGCAAACAGG
This 253-nucleotide ribosomal RNA is filed under the name uncultured bacterium. Its description in RNAcentral is "partial 16S ribosomal RNA". It matches the Rfam family "Bacterial small subunit ribosomal RNA", at positions 524 to 776 of the family's 1533-position model. The record is from RNAcentral.